RNAcentral lists this ribosomal RNA (494 nucleotides) under uncultured bacterium. RNAcentral's name for it is "bacterial SSU rRNA". It matches the Rfam family "Bacterial small subunit ribosomal RNA", at positions 12 to 507 of the family's 1533-position model. The record is from RNAcentral.
UUUGAUCCUGGCUCAAGGAUGAACGCUAGCGGCAGGCUUAACACAUGCAAGUCGAGGGGUAUAGUUCUUCGGAAUUAGAGACCGGCGCACGGGUGCGUAACGCGUAUGCAAUCUACCUUUCACAGAGGGAUAGCCCAGAGAAUUUGGAUUAAUACCUCAUAGUAUAGCAGUUUCGCAUGAAACCACUAUUAAAGUCACAACGGUGAAAGAUGAGCAUGCGUCCCAUUAGCUAGUUGGUAAGGUAACGGCUUACCAAGGCAACGAUGGGUAGGGGUCCUGAGAGGGAGAUCCCCCACACUGGUACUGAGACACGGACCAGACUCCUACGGGAGGCAGCAGUGAGGAAUAUUGGACAAUGGGCGCAAGCCUGAUCCAGCCAUGCCGCGUGCAGGAAUAAGGUCCUAUGGAUUGUAAACUGCUUUUAUACAGGAAGAAACACACCCUCGUGAGGGUACUUGACGGUACUGUAUGAAUAAGGACCGGCUAACUCCGUG